This 297-nucleotide long non-coding RNA is filed under the name Homo sapiens (human). RNAcentral's name for it is "HSALNT0039354". Lineage: Eukaryota; Metazoa; Chordata; Mammalia; Primates; Hominidae. The record is from RNAcentral.
AUACAUGCCAUUAUGAACAGUAGAGAAUACAUGAUGCCUGUUCUGGAAGAAUGGGCCUCAUAUUAGUCAACCAUAGAAGAGAACACAAAUUCCUGUUUUGGAUGUUACUGGGAAUGCCAGAAGAAUAUGACAUGCCUAUGUCACAUUCAGGAGCUUGGGGGCUCUAGGUUGGAGAAUUGAGACAAUUCCUGUCUGAUGAUGAAUCAGAUGAGUGAAGAAGAGGAUGUCUGUCGUCCUUAGCAGAAGAGGACUUUUGGGUAUACAGAGGCACCAGGGAUGCAUGCACAGAGGAAAGAC